Molecule: long non-coding RNA, 523 nt
Filed under: Homo sapiens (human)
Lineage: Eukaryota; Metazoa; Chordata; Mammalia; Primates; Hominidae
Description: non-protein coding lnc-MUC4-2:3
Source: RNAcentral
GUCUCAAUUAACUCACUCACCAGGAGCCAAGUCCCUCCAUACCUGAUCUCAAUUCACUCACUCACCAGGAGCCAGGUCCCUCCAUACCUCAUCUCAAUUAACUCACUCACCAGGAGCCAGGUCCCUCCAUACCUGAUCUCAAUUAACUCACUCACCAGGAGCCAGGUCCCUCCAUACCUCAUCUCAAUUAACUCACUCACCAGGAGCCAGGUCCCUCCACACCUCAUCUCAAUUAACUCACUCACCAGGAGCCAGGUCCCUCCAUACCUGAUCUCAAUUAACUCACUCACCAGGAGCCAGGUCCCUCCAUACCUCAUCUCAAUUAACUCACUCACCAGGAGCCAGGUCCCUCCACACAGAGUCUCAAUUAACUCACUCACCAGGAGCCAAGUCCCUCCAUACCUGAUCUCAAUUAACUCACUCACCAGGAGACAGGUCCCUCCAUACCUCAUCUCAAUUAACUCACUCACCAGGAGACAGGUCCCUCCAUACCUCAUCUCAAUUAACUCACUCACCAGGAGCC